UACAGAGGGUGCUAGCGUUGUUCGGAAUUAUUGGGCGUAAAGCGCGUGUAGGCGGCUUUGCAAGUCAGGUGUGAAAGCCCUCGGCUUAACCGAGGAAGUGCGCCUGAAACUGUGAGGCUUGAGUACCGGAGAGGGUGGUGGAAUUCCCGGUGUAGAGGUGAAAUUCGUAGAUAUCGGGAGGAACACCAGUGGCGAAGGCGACCACCUGGACGGCUACUGACGCUGAGACGCGAAAGCGUGGGGAG
RNAcentral lists this ribosomal RNA (245 nucleotides) under uncultured bacterium. RNAcentral describes it as "partial 16S ribosomal RNA". It matches the Rfam family "Bacterial small subunit ribosomal RNA", at positions 524 to 768 of the family's 1533-position model. The record is from RNAcentral.